UCCCAGCCCUGGGCCUUUCAGCUGCUCCCCAUCCCAGUUAACCCCAGAUGAGAACCAGCCAUCACAGCCCACGGAGCCCUGGUAACCGGCUCCACCUGAUCGGCCCUCCAUGCGCAGCUCCUGACGCUUGCAGCCCCCGACAGGGAUCUGGAUCCGCUCCCGUCAGCAGUUCUCAACUGAAGGAAGGGUUCGAGCCAGAUUCGUGAACCACCUCAAAGCCCUCGGAGAAGUGGGCGGGGAUUGUGCUGAUGCUAAUGGACACGUCCCCAGAGAGUCAGCUGUCCUCCUGGGCAUUUAGACCUAUAACGCUCCCCCCACCCUGAAAAAGACGGGGCUGUAGAAGCAGGCUCUAGAUUCCAGCUCCUCUUCUUGCUAACACAUCCCAUGUUGGUUUUUUUUUGGUUGUUUUUUUGUCUUUUUGCAAUUUCUUGGGCUGUUCCUGCAGCAU
Molecule: long non-coding RNA, 448 nt
Organism: Sus scrofa (pig)
Lineage: Eukaryota; Metazoa; Chordata; Mammalia; Artiodactyla; Suidae
Source: RefSeq, a predicted model, not a curated record